UAGCCGCACUACGUUACGAUAUGAUACGGUACGGAAGACCAGUGAGGCCCAUUCUACGCCCCUGGCACCAUAAUAAGAGAAAGACCAGCGAGGCCCAUUCUACGCCCCUGGCAUAUUGGAAUGUUAUGUUAUGAAUGUAAUGUAAGAGAAAGACCAGCGAGGCCCAGUCUAUGCCCCUGGCACUAUUGGAUUCAGUAGUGGGCUAUUGGUGACAAGUUCAUCCUUGAUGUGGAUUGUUUGUGAUGUGUUGCAUUCCAUGAAAGCAUGAAAUUUAAAUUGAAUGUUUUAUUAUUCUGCUCACUGAGCUUUAUAGCUCACCCCUCUCCCUUAACCCCCAGGUUUGCAGGUACAGGGUAGACUAGGAG
RNAcentral lists this long non-coding RNA (365 nucleotides) under Manihot esculenta (cassava). RNAcentral's name for it is "long non-coding RNA (MESC_LNC003914)". Lineage: Eukaryota; Viridiplantae; Streptophyta; Magnoliopsida; Malpighiales; Euphorbiaceae. The record is from RNAcentral.